This 404-nucleotide ribosomal RNA is filed under the name Actinomycetes bacterium. Its description in RNAcentral is "Actinobacteria bacterium partial 16S ribosomal RNA". It matches the Rfam family "Bacterial small subunit ribosomal RNA", at positions 355 to 776 of the family's 1533-position model. The record is from RNAcentral. Lineage: Bacteria; Bacillati; Actinomycetota; Actinomycetes.
UGGGGAAUAUUGGACAAUGGGCGCAAGCCUGAUCCAGCCAUGCCGCGUGAGUGAUGAAGGCCCUAGGGUUGUAAAGCUCUUUCACCGGUGAAGAUAAUGACGGUAACCGGAGAAGAAGCUCCGGCUAACUUCGUGCCAGCAGCCGCGGUAAUACGAAGGGGGCUAGCGUUGUUCGGAUUUACUGGGCGUAAAGCGCACGUAGGCGGACUUUUAAGUCAGGGGUGAAAUCCCGGGGCUCAACCCCGGAACUGCCGUUGAUACUAGAAGUCUUGAGUAUGGUAGAGGUGGGUGGAAUUCCGAGUGGAGGGGUGAAAUUCGUAGGUAUUCGGGGGAACACCAGUGGCGAAGGCGGCUCACUGGACCAUUACUGACGCUGAGGUGCGAAGGCGUGGGGGGCAAACAGG